GACGAACGCUGGCGGCGUGCUUAACACAUGCAAGUCGAACGGAAAGGCCCUGCUUUUGUGGGAUGCUCGAGUGGCGAACGGGUGAGUAACACGUGAGUAACCUGCCCUUGACUUUGGGAUAACUUCAGGAAACUGGGGCUAAUACCGGAUAGGAGCUCCUGCUGCAUGGUGGGGGUUGGAAAGUUUCGGCGGUUGGGGAUGGACUCGCGGCUUACCAGCUUGUUGGUGGGGUAGUGGCUUACCAAGGCUUUGACGGGUAGCCGGCCUGAGAGGGUGACCGGCCACAUUGGGACUGAGAUACGGCCCAGACUCCUACGGGAGGCAGCAGUGGGGAAUAUUGCACAAUGGGCGGAAGCCUGAUGCAGCAACGCCGCGUGCGGGAUGACGGCCUUCGGGUUGUAAACCGCUUUCGCCUGUGACGAAGCGUGAGUGACGGUAAUGGGUAAAGAAGCACCGGCUAACUACGUG
RNAcentral lists this ribosomal RNA (468 nucleotides) under uncultured bacterium. RNAcentral's name for it is "partial 16S ribosomal RNA". It matches the Rfam family "Bacterial small subunit ribosomal RNA", at positions 28 to 507 of the family's 1533-position model. The record is from RNAcentral.